Chelonia mydas (Green sea turtle) is the source of this 14193-nucleotide long non-coding RNA. RefSeq lists it as uncharacterized. The transcript has 3 exons. NCBI's taxonomy places the organism in Eukaryota, Metazoa, Chordata, Testudines, Cheloniidae. The record is from RefSeq and is a predicted model, not a curated record.
GCUGAAAGUUUCACAACAAUGAAGACUUUGGACGGUAGCUGUUCGGUCGUUCUAAGGGUGAGGUUAUGCCAGAGAGACUAUUAUAUGAGCCAUACCAAUUCAGAGAUGGUAACAAAGAUGAAAUACUCCAGCUUUAUUUUCUUUAAAUAUAAGUGUGACACUGCAAGAGGAGUGAUUAAAAAGAAAUGGUGAAUCAUGUAAUGGAAGAAAAUUCGGAAAGGAGACACAUAGGAAAAGUAGUAAAAGGGUAAGAUAACAGACAAAGGGAGGAGAGCGUAGAAGAGUCAUGAGGGAUACAAAUGCAGAAAAGGAAGAAAAGGUAACAGCUUUAUUAAUGGUGACCCUAGCUUUGGUACUGUGUAUUUCUAGUUACACAACUUUCAAAUAGAUUUAUAAAAUCAUUUUUGAUAGGGAAUGGGGAAAAGUUACCAAAAAUGUAACUUUGGGAUGUUCACUGGAUUACAAUGCAAUAAAGUCAUUAGUUUGCUUUGUGGGGUCAAAGAGUAUAGAUACAGUAUUGAUACAUCAUACAUUAAGUAUAGUUACGCUAUGCUAGUAUACUAAUGUAAUAUACAGCGCCUACUUGAAAUGAUAGUACACUAUAUAAGUCCAUUAAUUAGCAUUGAAAGUCAAGACUGAGCUUCAGUAGAUCAGGAUGGAACCUUAAUACUUCACAGGACGGAGAACACAUUCAUUUAAAAGCUUGGGCUCUUUUACUUUUAACAGUUGAGUUUCUGUAUAGAUAUUAAUUGCAGCUCUGUAAUUAAUUUCCAUGAAAUCAACAGGAACUAGGGGUACACAGGAUUUGGGAUUUUCUAUGUAGAGGCCACCAGAGACUUCGGUGAGCAUGGGCUCUUUUAGUCUUCUGUUCCCCUGAACUUAUGCCAGGUGUACUCUCUUAACCCCCUUAAGACAAUGACUCUGGUUUUCCUCAGGCUAAAAUAGGGUUGGCAAGGCUUUCCCUUACUUGGGGAUUUUGGAUGGCCUUUAUACAACUCCUUCCUCCAUAGCAACUGCAUAUUUUUGUACUAGAUUGUGGUGUCCAAGAGGGCAAACAAUCUCCUAUACAAAUUACAAUGGUACUCCACCCACCACCACCAGGAGAAAGAAAAUGCUGCAAGCUACACCCCAAAUUUCUCUCCAUUCAAACUCAGUAAAGCAUCUCUGUUCACCUCUGUAGCUACCCUGUCACCAGCUAGCAGUGCAAUCUGUGAUCUGACAAUGAAGCUGGAGUCUUUCUGCCUCAGACACCAUCACUAGUAAUAAAGAUUCUCAAUUAGAAUUUAGCUGACAAUUCUGUUGAUGAUUCACAAGCCUGAAUAGAAAUUAACUGAGCUGGUUCUGCAGUGCCAACAGGACUAAGAAUUUGUUUUAGUCAGCAAAGCAAGUGGGUAAGAGUCAGAGAUAGAGCAGAUGUGUUGUGUAGGAAGGUAACAUUUUAUAAGCACACGUAAAAUAGUAUCUAUUUAUAAUAUAAAAAUGUCAUUAAUAAUACAGGUAUUUUCAAUUUAGGUGUUUUGUGAUAUUAUGAUUUUUCAAAACAAAAUCCCUUGUCUUCAAAUCAGUGCAUUUACCUAACAUUUUUGCUUGUUUUAUGGGAAUUCAGAAUAUAAAAUAACAUUGACAUAAUUUUAACCCAGUAUUUUGACCCCAGCAAUGUUUUAUGUUUAUUUGUCCUUGUUGUAUUAUUCCUAUUUCAUAACUUUCAUUGACUUCCUGCACUCAUUUAAAACACUACAUAAUCCAGAGGGAAUACCCUAUAAAAUACCACUCUACCUUCCUGUAGACAACAAUAGCAGGAAAACCCGAUGAGGCCCAACCAACUAAUAUGAAAUGAGUGAUUUUUCUGAAGUUUAAUUAUUCUGAUUUUGAUCAGAAGAAAUAACUGAAAUUAGAUAUUUGCUGCCCGCAGUAAGAAAAAUUGAGCAACCGAGAAGUGAAGUAUAGAUGCCUGUGCACAUUUGGUUUUUUACUUUGGUCUUUGUGGGACAGACGUAUGGUAUUGCUUUAAAGUAAUAUAAAAAAAUCAUAAUAGGAUAAUAAUAAUACUUCUCACUUAUAUAGAGUGGCAUCAUACAAGGGUCUUCAAGUGCUUAAAAAAGGUAUAUAAGUAUCAUUAGCCUCAAUAAAUGGAGAAACUGAGGCAUAAGAGGGGUGAGGUGAGUUGGUUCCACUACCACACAGGAAAGUGAAGACCAACACCCAGGUCUCCUGCGUCACAGUCACUUACCCUAUUGUGUCAUCAAGUAUUAAAAGUAUUAAGGAAGGGCUGGAAUUGAACGGUGGACCUCUGACUUCCAUGAAUUGGUCUGAAUGCAGCUUGGCAGUGACUGAAAGUUGUUACCUAUUUUAUGGUUGAUUGCUGAUGUAUGAAAAAUGACUCGAUGGUCUCCAUUAAACUCAUAAUAGGCAGAGAUCCACAUCACAAAAGAAAUAAAAAAGACCACACUGUGCACCUACCUUGGACCUCUCAGCAAAUGAAGUGAGGCCAAAGAUUGAAUAAGCAUAAAGAUUACAUUAGCUUCAAAGCCUGUAGAGAAGCCCCUCCAUGACUGAGGCACAAUGGUGAAGCCAGGACAGAGGAAUCUAUACUGUUUUUGUUCUGUGGAUGGAAAACUUCACCCUUCAGCAUCUUCCAGGUGCGCUACGUGCACUUUAAAAAAACACAGACAAAAAUCUGAGCUUUUCAACCGCAAACUACAGCAGUUCAUUUCUUAAUCUCUAUUCACACAAGGUGAAAUUCUCCUCAAAUGGCUGCACAAGAUCCUGUGCAUCAUUUAAGCCCUUAAUUUGAGCUUUAAUGGUCCCUAGGGCUUGUGGGUUCUCUGCACUAGGGUGAAUUUCACACUUAAAAUAUGCACAAGUCCUCUCCAUUUUCAAUGGGCCAUAUUUACUGGCCAUGUAAGCCAACACAAAUCCAUUUCUGUCAAUAAAAGGAUUACAGUAUAUUUGCCCUUAUAUUAAAUUAGAAGUCAGGCUGAUUAUGUAGUUAAAUAUUCUUAUGUUUAAGUAAUUUUACAUACAAGAGACCUGUUUCAAUGAUUAGUUAAACAAAUACAUUAUCAUCUGCCUGACUUGUGAGCAUAAGGACAAAAACAUUUUAAUUCUUGCAAUAUUUAAAAUAAAAAAUCAAUACCAUACAGCUGUGAAUGCAACAUUUUGUGCUCUGCUGUGUUGUGAUUUUGUCCGGUUCUAGUCACUUUCACAAUACAGGCUGUGUUUACACUGGCAGUUGUAAACUUUUGUCUUUCAGAGGUGUUAAAAAAUAAAAAAAGCCUGAAAGACAAAAGUUUUGCUGCGAAAGCGUCGGUGUGAACAGUGCGUUGUCCGCAGGAGGGCCAACAAACAGCGGCUACGCUGUACGACUUUUAGCAGCAUGGCUUUAGUGACACAGCCCUGUCUCUAAAAGCUGUGUAGUGUAGACAUACUUACAGAGUGGAUGAUUUCACAUUCCAGAGGACAUAUGUGGGUUAGGGGUGAGGUGGAGGGGGGUUACAUUUUCAUUAGUUUUAUAUAGGGAAGUAGGCUUUCUUAGCAAAGAAAGGUUAAGGCCUGAUUGAAUGCAUCAACCAAUCCUGGCCCUGUGCUCUGAAGUGAGUGAUAAAACUCCAGAGUCCACAAACACACACACACGUAUAUAUUUUGUUCUAUUCUUAAGAGCUAUACUUAAGUGGUUUUCUGAAUCAGAGUCCAUAGCAGUUGUGGGCAACCUGCGGCCCACCAUUGGUCAGUGUAAACAAACUGUCUCGCAGCCCGCCAGCGGAUUACCUUGAUGGCCCACAGGUUGCCCACCAAUGGUCUAUAGCAUUAAGAUAUGAUAGUGUGGGUUUUUUUUAUAUAAUUGGGCUUAAAAUAAAUAGGACUUGCAUCCACACACAAAUCUAGAUUACAAAACUACUUGUUCUGUAGUAUUUAGUACUAAACAAUUUAGGGUCAGCGGAGAAGAGAAGAUUUCAACCAGUUUAAAUAACAUCUGAAUCUGGCCUUCAAAGCUUAAAUACAUAACUAUCAUAUUCCUGGAUUGUGUGAUAGCCACAAUAAAAGUACGUGAAGAUAACUGGAAGGGUUUGACUUAAGCCCACAAGAACUAGGGGAAAUAUAUUCAGAAGAGCACCAUAAAUUUGUUUAAUCCUAAAAUUAUAUCUACCACCCUAUACUUGUUCUAGACAGCAUUUCAGCAUAAAUUGAUAGACUUUCAUGCAACUUUGUUUUACAAUAGGAUAUACAUAUAUUUUUAAAAUCAUCAGAAAAAUUAAUUGACACCAGCUGUAACCCCAACUCUUCCAAGCCAUUAUGAUCUAUUAUGUAUUUAAUUACAUUUUUAGAAGUGUAUUAGAAUAUUUGGUAAUAAAGUAAUUGGUAUUUAUUCUUUGAUGGCUGUUACAGACCACUAUGUAAGCACAUAAUUGUGAACUUGUUGAAGUACAUUAUUUACUUGCUAGCCCAGAAUAGUAGUUCCUAAGUAUCUUCACGAAGAUCCCUAGGCAAGUUUGAAAGGGUAAUAUUUUUUGUUGCAUGACUGGAACAGCUCUGACUAUGGAUUAAUGUAUCUGUGAGUAGAACUUUUUUUAAAAAAUCUGUUACAUAUAAAACAAAAUCAGAGAGAAACAGCUGACAACUAAGGACAAUGAGUCAAAUAAAAUAAGUACCUCAAUAAACGAUAUUAGUAAUUCUGAGCCUUUACUUGCAAACCUUACUCACUUGAGUAUUCUGAUUCAAAUCAACUGGAUCUCUCAUUUGAGUAAGGAUUGCUGAAUCAGGCCCUUUGUAAGUGUACCAUUCCAUACAUAGGUGGUGACUCUGUGGGUGUUCCAGGGCUGGAGCACCAACAGAAAAAAAAUUGAGGGUGCUCAGCACCCGCCAGCCACAGCUGUUGUGGCAGUCAACGAUCAGCUGCUCGGCGGUUCGGGAAAGGCCUUGCGGGAGGGCAGAGAGCCGCGAGCCAUGGGCAGAUGGGGGCCUUGGGGAGGGGCUGGAGCAGGGGCAGGAAAAGGCAGUGCGAGGACAGGACCUUGGGAAAGAGGUGGAGUGGGGGCAAGGCCUGAGGGUGGAGUGGGGGUAGAGUACCCCCCAGGGAAAAAUAAAAGUCAGCACCUAUAAUUCCAUAUCGUCUGGUAAAAACAUGCAUUUCAAAAUCAGUAGUGAACAAUUUAAGCUCGGAUUGGUACCUUAAUUUUUAUUUAUUUUUAAUGAGAAUUAUAUUCCCCCUCCUCCCUUGGUGACAAAACGUGUGUGUAUGAAUGUGUGUGGGAAUGGUGACUCUGGUAAGAAGUGACUAAGGUAAACAAGUGCAGUUGCUAAACCACAAAUUAUUUUUAAGUAAACCUUCUGUAUCUAUUUAUAAUGUUAUGUAACACUUAUUUUCUUUGUUUAAUUGGAAGAUCUUCUUGGGAGCAGUUCAAACAUCUAAUGUGAAUACAGCUAGAUAAACCUUUAUAGAGACACUUUAUUUAGCCAAUAAACCAUAAGAGUGCUUGGAUAAAAUGAAAUGUAAUGGUCAUAUAGUAUAAAAAUCCCUACAAAGUAUCAAGAAAUGUGUUUUUAUAGUAUCUCUGGUGUGUUUGCUGUUUUUUAAACCUUACACCUCAGUUGAUUUCUUUCAUCCAAAAAAUAUUUUAAAAGCAACUAAUCCAUAAUAUUGUUUGGAAAAAAUUAUUGAAAAAUGUAAAGAGUUAUUGAAUUAAAGAAUAUAUAAAUGAUGUGCAAAAUCCUGAGACAUGAUGACUUCAAAUACAGAUGCAGAGGCACAGUGCCUCUCAGGAUUUGUCUCAGUGUCUUUAACUUAUCAAUGUACUUUUUGGACCCCUAUAAUUCAAAUUAUAUUGCUCUUCUAAGAUGAGUUUCAGAGUAGAGACCUUGUAUGUCAAGUUUCAGCCCUGAGCAAAUUUUAUGGAUGGGUUACACUUUAUAAAGAGGACUGAUGAUAGAAAUGCAGACUUUAGUCUCAUGAAAUAGGUGCCUUUUUAAUGUGUUACAGAGUACGGGCAGAUGAAGCUAUAGAGGUGUUGGCUCUAAUUUAUAACAAAAUUCUCAGAGGUAUUGAGGCAUGUAAUUCCCAUUGAUUUAAUAGGAGUUGGGUGCCUACACAGCUUUGAAGAUAUGGACCAAAAUGUCCAAUUUUGUAAUCACUAUGCAUGGGAAACUCCCAUUGAAUUCAAUGCACCUAGAAAAACAAAUGCAACAUCUGUUUCACGAACCCAGAUUCCUCCCUCUGAACUGCUGAGUAGGAAGAAACCCAGAAUGUACAGCUCUUCUAGGUGAUUGUCACAACCUACAUGUCAUCACACCAUACCUCUCAAAUGUCUUUCAUUUCAAGGGACAUCACUCAUUGGUCACAAAACCAGCUCCUUAUCACAUAUUUGGUGUCCCUUCACUUUUAUUCCUGAAAAUUAUUUAUGUCAGAAGGAAAAAUCGUGUAACUAAGGUUACAGAAAGAGUCACUUACACUUAGGGAAGGAAUCACGUUAUUUUCCCUGCAUUGACUAAAGUUUUGCAUUUUCCCCAUUCUGGAUCUUUGCCAUAUGUUGCAUCUCGCACUUGGGCAUUGGCAGGUUGAGAGGUAGGAUCACAACUCAGUGCUAUGUCUGAGGCGUGGUUUACACUUAAAAUUUAGAUUGACCUAGUUAUGUCGCUCAGGAGUGUGAAAAAUUCACACCCUUGAGAGCUGUAGUUAAGCUGACCUAACUCUUGGUGUAGAUGCGGCUAGGUCAAUGGAAGAACCUAGCAACUGCCUCUUGAAGAGGUGGAUUACCUUCAUCGAUAGAAAAACUCUUUCCAUCUACACUAUAGUGCUACAGCGACAUAGCUGCAGGCAUGCCCUGACAUUAAAUGAACUCAAACUCACAAAAAUACAGAUUUAGUUCAAGAGACUACUGUGACACCCUGGCACCCCAAUAUUCACCACUGUCAUGUAAUUAGGAUAUGUUUUCUACAAAGUAUGCCUUGUGAGGUAUCAUUCUAAAAGUCUUGAUCUGCUAGACAGUAAUAUCUCGUUGGACUGUAUGUGCUACCAUCAUAUGCGAAGUUAUAAAGUUUGACUAUGUCUGUGUUACUGAAACAUAUUGUGUGGUUGAAAACACCCACAAGCAGCUUUUCGGGUACAACAGUAAAAAGGCCAAACAAUAUUAACAGCUGAUUGAGGAAAUGCACACAAGCACAAGGAUUACCCCAGGAACUGUGUACAAUAGAAACUUCCCAGAGAUAGCAGUACACAAUGGGAACUAUUUGACCUAGGUCAGAGCAAAAGAGCUUUCCAGCAAGUGGGAAGAAGAAAUAAAAGGGGGACAAUGACAGCAUGAUGGUACCUCACUCUCCCUACAAGAGCACACCUGGAAACACCUGAGGUGCAAGGACUGAACUGUGGGAAGUGAAGGUCCCAGGCUAGAGGGAUUUUUAGUCUGUGUAUGAAAACCUGGAAAAGCCAGCUUGUGUCUUAAGAAUCUGCCAGCCUGUUUAUCACUCAGGAUGAGAAUUUGCUAAUUCAUAUCCUACAUAUUUAGUGUGUUAAACUCAGUUUGCAAUUUUGUUUAUUUACUAAAGUAAUCUGCUUUGAUCUGUUUGCUAUCACUUCUAAUCACUUCAAAUCUAUCUUUUGUAGUUAAUAAACUUGUUUUGUUUUGUCUAAAACCAGUGUGUGUGGAAAUUAUAACUUGGGGCAGAAAGCUGUUGCAUAUCUCUCUCCACAGUGAGGUGAAUUUCAUGAGUUUACGCUAUAGAGUUCUCUGUGAAGCGCAAGACAGUACAAUUUUGGGUUUACACUCCAGAGGCGGGUGCGUGCCUUAGCAACUGGGAGGUGCCUUAGCUGAGCCUUCCCAUGCAGAGCUGAUCUCAGCAUCUGUGUGUAAAGCUGCAGUUGGGUGUGUCCCUAUCAGUGUGUAUGCUGGUGAAAGAGCAAGCGUGGAGAGCCUGGCAAUUUAUCACUGCACCACAGUGUGAAAGGGAACCCAGGCUGGUAGGUUAGGUGGGCUCAGUGGUAUCCCAGGUCCAAGUGGCACCCCAGGGGGAACCUAUCACAACUACAACAGGGCCAUUUUUAGUGGGUUCAGCUUCCUCAGUUGUUUUCACAGCCUGCUAUGUAGUUCCUGUUUAAAGUUUUAAAGAAAAAAUAGAUAUUUAAAUUAUGCUUGCUUUACACAGGCAAAAAAAAGAACAACUCUGAACAAAACAAAAUCAAUUAAUUUCAGAUGACAGCUUACAGAACAGAUUUCCACCUGUCCUCAUCUUCUUUCACGUUCACAAACAGAAUUUUAAAUUACUAGGUAACAGGAAAAGAAGCCUAGAAACCUAAUAUUUUAAACUCCUAAGGGUCUGUGAUCCUGCAAACCCUUACUAUGACACACUAUGCCUAAUAGGGUUUACAUGAUUGGGCCUAAUACAGCAUAUUAGUUGAACAUGCAUCUGUAUUUUCUCAAUCAUACCUAAUUAUUUUUGUUCACAUUAAUAAACUAUAACUGUUGUAAUUCUAUUUUUUAUUCUUAUCAUCCUGGUAACAAUUAUCCAUGUGUGGGUGUUUUCUCAAUUUACCACAGGCAGUUUCUUAUAUUGUGCUCAUCAGCAUGUUAUCUGAACACCUUCCAGAAUCAGGAAAUUCAAUAAAGGGACUAAAGGUUGAUCUCCAUUCCCCUCUAAUCCCCUCUUCUCCAGGGAAAAUUGUAUUGAUAGUGUGGGUGGAGGUUUUGUUUGUAUUUUUAAAAUAAAUUCAUGUGUUAUGUAUUUUUUUUCCCUUAGGGAAAAUGAGAUUGAAAAAAUGCACCCUGCUUUUGAAUUGGUUGUGGUAGUUGCUGUGGGAGAUGAUUCCAGUCUAUUCCUGAGCCAUCCCCUAAGAAAGCCUUAUCAAACAAACUUUGCCUUUUAGGUAGAUUUCUGAGAGCAGAAUCAGUGAGACUUGUGGUCCCAGAGGGUGAUCACGGCAGAGUUUAUGCUCCCUGAUUGGAUGACUGAAUCAUUUUAAACAAGAAGAUGACACAUAAAUAGUGAUUAAUGUGCUUCUGGCACAAAUUUCCAGCUGAGUAAUCAGGGAAACUUUUAAGAUUUGCAAACAUUUUCACAAACAUCCAUUGGCUAUGAACAAUGAAUUAUAAGACCACAAAUAACAGCUAACCAAAUUCACCAUUAUAUUCACAAAUCACUUUUUUCAUUAUUCAACCAGCCCUAAAGAUACAUCUACAAAGUUAACUAAUUUGAAGUAUAAUGAUUCUAUGGACACAUUUAUUAUAGCAGUGUCAGUUAAAAGCUGUCACUCAGCUUAAGGACUGCUGUCGCAACUGAAAUGGUCAGAAUCAAUUUUUGAUCUUAGGUAUAAUAGUAACCACCGAACUCAGUGGAUGUGAUCCUUUGUGACCCUGACUUGAGUCAGGUGAGCGGGACCAGGAAAUACAAUUGAGUAAUUUACCAGCACUUCUUACUCUUACACAUUUAUCAUAAUACGAUAUUUUCAUGUAGUCUAAUGUACUAUCCUGUCUUGAAUACAGAAGAAUAUUUCCCCAUGAUAAAAAACAUUUAAUUUAGGUGAAGGUCCUUUGAUUAUUACUUACUGGAUCAAAUGUAUUCAGUCCUAAUUUAUAUACCAGGCAGAGUAUAAGAUCUCAGGGACCAAAUUCUACCUUGGUGUAACAGCACUGGCUUCAAAAGAAUUGGCACCACUUAAAUCAAAGAUAUGCCUCCACAUGGUUUCUCAGCAAAACACAGCACAGCACACAGGAAAGAUAAUCGAUCCACAGUGCCAAAAAUGUGUUCUAUUCAUCCAUAGCAUAAACAGCAUCAAUACAAGACUCCUCUAUACUGAAUAUUGCCACACCAAUGUUUCAACUGAGUUUUAGAGAAGUCACCUUUAUGGUGAGAAAGUAAGGCUAUGUCUACACUGCAAUUGAACGACAAAACUUUUAUCUUUCAGAGGUGUUAAAUACCUCCCCUCCUCCCCUGAAAGACAAAAGUUUUGCCACGACAAGUGUCAGUGUGAACACCGUGUUGUCGGCAGGAGUGCUAAGACAUAGCCUAAGUCUCUGGGCCUUUUGGGCCUCUCCUCUGGGAAUGUCAACAAGAGUGAUAGCUUAUUUCAGCUGAGGUAGUAUUGGCCUGAUAUCAUAUAGGACAAUGGACAGCUGUCAAAUGCUAGCACCUCUUCCUUAUUAUCAAUCCUGUCUGCAUUCACACCAAUAAAAAGAAAAGGAGUACUUGUGGCACCUUAGAAACUAACCAAUUUAUUUGAGCAUAAGCUUUCGUGAGCUACAGCUCACCAAUGAACUGCAAGUGAAUAACCCACUACCAACCCCCUAAACAAUCCAGUCCUUCUCUUAUCGUAUAAAUUCAGCCUUGCAGGAAAACUGAGAGAGAAAAUUAAUUCAUAUUGACAUUUAAGAAUUGUUCAGAUUUGUACUUAUUUUUGUUUAUUAGAAGCGAGUCUAUUUCAAAUUGACUGCAAUGUGGUCAGGGCACACACUGGGUGCAUGUAAGCAAGUUACACUGUGAUAUAUUUCUAGUGUCACUUACAGCCAGAUCUGCAAGAAUUACACAAAUACAAACAUUUGCUUGCUAUGUCAUUUUACUGACCUGGCAGAGUGCCCUUUGUUAUCUAAAGAGCUAUUUUAGUAGACCCAGCUGUGGGUAGGGUUACUCUGUCCACAUAUUUGACCACCCAGGACAAAUAUGGCAUGCUUUAACCCCUACUAUGUUCUCUGCAAAAAGAAAAGGAGUACUUGUGGCACCUUAGAGACUAACCAAUUUAUUUGAGCAUAAGCUUUCGUGAGCUACAGCUCACUUCAUUGGAUGUCACUCUACUCCAACAUGUCAUUCAAGCAUUCAGAUACAGAAUGGUCUUGCUAGUCAUGUCAUUAUUUUACAUGUAAUAACAAUUAGAAUUUAUUGUGACAGCAGUUAUCUCUCAAAUAAUAUCUUUCAUUUCUAAGGAUCUCAAAGCACUUUACAAACAUUCAUUAAGCCUAACUUCAUAUCCAUAAGUAUGAUCCUCAUUUUAAAAAUGGGGAAAUUGAGGCGCAGAGAAGUGUAGUUGCCAGAUGUCACAAAGCAAGUCAGAAGAAGAACCAAGAGCAGAUCUGGACUCCCAGUCCUGUUUUCUAAUCACUCCAGGAUCUCAACAACUGAUGAUAAACCACAGAACUAGAUUCAAGUAGACUAGAGAAUAGUUAGAAUGAAGAAAUGAAUUACUUUAAAAAAACAACAGGUUUAAUAUAAUGUAAAUGCUGUCCUGUCUUCGCUAUCAUGUAACAGGGUUUUAGAAUUGUUGUUGGGGGCCUCGCCUCUCAGAAGAAUGUUGAUGUUUCUUCAACCAUUAAGAGUUAAUAAGAUGGCCAGUGCUAUGACAGGUAAAUAUGCAUCCUAUCUAAUAGUAACAAACAUAGUUUUAUUGACGAGAUAAUAGCAAAUACAUACCUCUUUACUUAGGAGAUAAAUGUGAGAACAUUCCCUGUUGUUUACCAAUCAAUAUAACACAGAGACCAAUAAUCCCUACUUCUCUAAAAUCAGUGGAAAUACAUUUUUAAGUGGAAAAUUCUCAAAUUGUACUUUGUUUAUCUCUGGUACCUGUCCUUUUUUUUCUCCUUUAUACAUUAGUAAAAUCUCAUCCUGUGUUUACCAGUAGGUAGGAAACGAAAAGAUACUCAUCAGAAGAGAUGAGAGCACAAGCCAUGAAGUUUUAAUUUGGAACUAAUCUUACACAUACCCUAAGGAUAAAUUUUACCUAUGCAGUCAGAUAGCCCUUUCAUCUACACAUAUACCUAAGAAGAUUCAAAAGAGUUCCUCUCUUCAAAGUUAGCAGCAUAGAUUAAAGCAUCCAAAAUCAAGACCAAAUCCAAUUGGAAAAAUGGUAGCAUAUCAAGAACAUCAGCAUUUUGCUAAAUCACCUUUUGUUUACCAAGUCCUGUCCCUUUUCUGGAGAUCUGCCAUUCCAAACCUGGAGGACGUGCAAAGUUGAAGAUCCCUGCUUUUCUGAGAAUGGCAAAAUGUUGUCAGAUCAUAAGAUGCAGGGGGAAAAAACACUGCCAGCUGUUCAAUUUACUGAAAAAUUCGAAGAUAGAUCAGAGGAAAGAUUUUGGCUUAGGAUCAGAAAAAUGUUGCACUGGAGUAUUUAGCUUAAGAAGAAAAAAUGAAAUGAAGCAGAGGUAAAAUAUUUAACAUACAUAUGUUUCCCAUAACAUCAAUCUAGAAUAGUUUACAAUAAUAAAAAGCUCUCGAGCAGGUCUAGACAUCAUGGUAGUUAAAAAGCUGGUGGGCACCAAUGCCUAGUCAACACUAGUGUUCUCAAUAUUGCUGCCACUGGCAACAACAGUGGGAAUUUUUUUCAGAAAAAGGAUAAGUGCAGACCAGGCCAAUGGGGCUGUGUGGGAUAAAAGUGAAGUAUGUCCCAUAGUGAGGAAACCCAGAGAGGUACAGCUUUCAGAGUAGCAGCCCUGUUAGUCUGUAUUCGCAAAAAGAAAAGGAGAGUCGAGGGGGGGCGGGAACCUUUUGUAGUGAUAAUCAAGGUGGCCCAUUUCCAGCAGUUGACAAGAACGUCUGAGGAACAGUGGGGGGUGGAGGAGGGAAUAAACAUGGGGAAAGCUUAUGCUCAAAUAAAUUGGUUAGUCUCUAAAGUGCCACAAGUACUCCUUUUCUUCAUGGGGAAAUAGUUUUACUUUGUGUAAUGACCCAUCCACUCCCAGUCUCUAUUCAAGCCUAAAUUAAUUGUAUCCAGUUUGCAAAUUAAUUCCAAUUCAGCAGUCUCUCCUUGGAGUCUGUUUUUGAAUUUUUUAAUCCUGGCCCCCUGGCUCCUAACUGAAAGAGUAAUUUGACCCUUGUCACCACAGUCCAGCCCUCUUUAUCUAGAUUUGGUUCCCCCAGGCUGAAGGGAGGCCAACAAUCAAAGAUCUGAUGGAACAACCAUUUGCAUCUUUGAAGGUUGCACAUCCUUUUCAAGGAAUGGAACAUCCAACUUUACUAGAUAGGCACAUUUGCUGAAUAUUUUUGCUAGUAAGGAACAAUUCCUGACAUUUAAAUCCUGAUCCUUAAACUUUCAUGUUAAUAAACCACUGGGGGCAAUUCACAAAAUACACUGGUUCAGUCUGUGUCUGCAAACUGCAGGUAUGUGGGACAAGGAGAUGAGAUGAAGGCUAGUUUUCAAAAGAAUGGGUUAUUUUUGUUCUACAAAUUCAAGAAUCCAUGAGACUGCAAAAUAAACAGCAAGAGAUCCUUUCAAAACAAAACUACACAUACUUUAAAAAGCUUACUUAAAACAUUUUAGAAAAUUACCUGCAUACAGCUUUUAAAGCCAAAUCAUUUCCUAAUUAAAAUGGGUGGGAGUCAAUUUUUUCCUUUCACACCUUGAAAUGCAUGACCCUACCCAGUAAGCUUUAUCUCUUAUAUAUUAACAAUAUUAAUUUGAAAGUGAAUUCAGCUCCAUUGUUUUUGUUACAAGUUGAAGUGAUUCUUAAAUCAGAAGCAAAAAUACUGGAGUUUUCUUUUAAAUCCCAUCAUUUUAAACCAAAAAUCUAUUAUCCUUUAUUUGCUGCAGCACCUUAAUUUUAGAGUGAAUUUCUGUGUAUUGCUCUCAGUUUCACCUUUGUUGUGCAACCCUUUUCCUCCAACAGAAGGUUUUGUAGUUAAAAUUUCUCUGAACUCUCUGUACAAGAGCCUAGAGGUGAACUGGUCCAGGAUACUGAAAGCAUCUUGGCCUGUCUGCUAAAUUUUCUGUAUAAAAUAUGUUAUAUGAGACAAGUAAUCAUUUAGAGGCCCAAUAGCUUGUAUAUCACUAGGGGAUUAAAUUAAUCCCAUUGGAAAACUCAGAACUAGCUGCUUGUGAUGUCAGCUACAGCAUGAGACUCAGGCCCUCAAAUUGCAUGGACAGGUGGGAAUUCUGAUGUAACACCACAUUAAAAACCUGUAGUGCAUUAGUUAUGUAAUCACUGUACCUUUUAUUUUCUUCCUCUGUGUACGGCACCCUUAAAUCUCUGAGUAUUCUGGAGUUGGCCCACACAGACACAGGGUAUGUCUGUGCUUGAUUUUUUAGUUGUGUUUUACUUUCCCAGUAUGAUGAUCAAUUCAGUGAACACACACUGUGCCGUCCCAUGAGUCUUUAGUUGUCUUGGUUUUAAAUUCUUUUAAUCUAAACUAAAUGUUAUUGUGACUAAAAAUAUGUUUGUACAUUGUGUCUGGAAAAAACAUAACUGUACAAUUAUGAUUAUUAAAUUAACUUCUAAAGAAAAA